AUACGGAGGGGGCUAGCGUUGUUCGGAAUUACUGGGCGUAAAGCGUACGUAGGCGGACUGAUCAGUUGGGGGUGAAAUCCCAGGGCUUAACCCUGGAACUGCCUUCAAUACUGUCAGUCUUGAGAUUGGAAGAGGUGAGUGGAAUUCCUAGUGUAGAGGUGAAAUUCAUAGAUAUUAGGAGGAACACCAGUGGCGAAGGCGGCUCACUGGUCCAAUACUGACGCUGAGGUACGAAAGCGUGGGUAGCAAACGGGAUUAGAUACCCUAGUAGUCC
This 274-nucleotide ribosomal RNA is filed under the name uncultured bacterium. RNAcentral describes it as "partial 16S ribosomal RNA". It matches the Rfam family "Bacterial small subunit ribosomal RNA", at positions 523 to 796 of the family's 1533-position model. The record is from RNAcentral.